This 23-nucleotide microRNA is filed under the name Schmidtea mediterranea. RNAcentral describes it as "sme-miR-124c-2-5p". Its record names the gene sme-miR-124c-2-5p. The record is from miRBase by way of RNAcentral. Lineage: Eukaryota; Metazoa; Platyhelminthes; Tricladida; Dugesiidae.
GCAUUAACCCUGUUGUCUUAGAU